CGAUUGUUAGGCAGAGGUUUUAUAUAUUUAUAUACACACGUUGGUUAGUUUAGUCCUCAACCAAUUUUAUAAACUCACCACAGGUUAGGGUACAUAAAAUGUCAGUCUGCAAAGAACUGGAUGUGACAAAAAAAACAUAUCUUGGUGAUGUGUUAGCUGGGCAUGGCAUUGAGCUUCUGCCUAAAUAUGGAGGAAAAGCCUACUUCUGCCAGGAGCCGCUGGCACCAUCUCCGUGAAAGCAGUUUGGGAAUAAGCGGCCCAUUUCGACCCAGCUCGACCCAAAGUGCUUUCAAGGGGAUAAAUGUGAUGGCGUGUGUUUGGCAACUCCCCACCCUCUAUCUGUAAAUACCAGAGUGAGAGGAGACUGGGUGAGAGGAGGAAGAGGAGGAGGAAGAGGAGGAGCAGGAGGAGGGGAAGACAGCUACAGUACACACAAAAUACAGACACACACGGAGAACGACGGACGUACAGACAGAAACAAAGAAAGAAACAAAAAAGAAUGGAGAAAACAGACAGACAGAUGGACAGUGUAACAGAGACCAACAAGAGCCAACGUACAAACGCAUGACCUGAAACAACCUGGGGAAGGAGACAGUCACAUAACAACAAAAUGACAACAACAACAGCAAC
Molecule: long non-coding RNA, 630 nt
Organism: Scophthalmus maximus (turbot)
Lineage: Eukaryota; Metazoa; Chordata; Actinopteri; Pleuronectiformes; Scophthalmidae
Exons: 3
Source: RefSeq, a predicted model, not a curated record